AUUGAACGCUGGCGGCAUGCCUUACACAUGCAAGUCGAACGGCAGCACGGGUGCUUGCACCUGGUGGCGAGUGGCGAACGGGUGAGUAAUACAUCGGAACGUACCUUAUCGUGGGGGAUAACGCAGCGAAAGCUGUGCUAAUACCGCAUACGCCCUGAGGGGGAAAGCGGGGGAUCGCAAGACCUCGCGCGAUUAGAGCGGCCGAUGUCUGAUUAGCUUGUUGGUGAGGUAAAAGCUCACCAAGGCGAUGAUCAGUAGCUGGUCUGAGAGGACGAUCAGCCACACUGGGACUGAGACACGGCCCAGACUCCUACGGGAGGCAGCAGUGGGGAAUUUUGGACAAUGGGGGCAACCCUGAUCCAGCAAUGCCGCGUGAGUGAAGAAGGCCUUCGGGUUGUAAAGCUCUUUUGUCAGGGAGGAAACAGCAGCUCUAACACAGUCUGCGAAUGACGGUACCUGAAGAAUAAGCACCGGCUAACUACGUGCCAGCCGCCGCAGUAA
RNAcentral lists this ribosomal RNA (501 nucleotides) under uncultured bacterium. Its description in RNAcentral is "partial 16S ribosomal RNA". It matches the Rfam family "Bacterial small subunit ribosomal RNA", at positions 30 to 523 of the family's 1533-position model. The record is from RNAcentral.